UGCNAGUCGAGGGGUAUUGGUUUUCGGACCAAGAGACCGGCGCACGGGUGCGUAACGCGUAUGCAAUCUACCUUUUACAGAGGGAUAGCCCAGAGAAAUUUGGAUUAAUACCUCAUAGUAUAUAAUUUUCGCAUGUUAAUUAUAUUAAAGUUCCAACGGUAAAAGAUGAGCAUGCGUCCUAUUAGCUAGAUGGUAAGGUAACGGCUUACCAUGGCUACGAUAGGUAGGGGUCCUGAGAGGGAGAUCCCCCACACUGGUACUGAGACACGGACCAGACUCCUACGGGAGGCAGCAGUGAGGAAUAUUGGACAAUGGGCGCAAGCCUGAUCCAGCCAUGCCGCGUGCAGGAAGACGCAUCUAUGGUGUGUAAACUGCUUUUGUACGGGAAGAAACACUCCCUCGUGAGGGAGCUUGACGGUACCGUAAGAAUAAGGAUCGGCUAACUCCGUGCCAGCGGCCGCGGUAAUACGGAGGAUCCAAGCGUUAUCCGGAAUCAUUGGGUUUAAAGGGUCCGUAGGCGGUUUGAUAAGUCAGUGGUGAAAGCCCAUCGCUCAACGAUGGAACGGCCAUUGAUACUGUCAGACUUGAAUUACUAGGAAGUAACUAGAAUAUGUAGUGUAGCGGUGAAAUGCUUAGAUAUUACAUGGAAUACCAAUUGCGAAGGCAGGUUACUACUAGUGGAUUGACGCUGAUGGACGAAAGCGUGGGGAGCGAACAGGAUUAGAUACCCNGGNAGUCCACGCUGUAAACGAUGGAUACUAGCUGUUCGGAGCAAUCUGAGUGGCUAAGCGAAAGUGAUAAGUAUCCCACCUGGGGAGUACGUUCGCAAGAAUGAAACUCAAAGGAANUGACGGGGGCCCGCANA
Molecule: ribosomal RNA, 865 nt
Filed under: uncultured bacterium
Lineage: Bacteria
Description: bacterial SSU rRNA
Rfam family: Bacterial small subunit ribosomal RNA
Source: RNAcentral